AAAAUUUUUUUUUCCCGACAGACUUCUCUUUCUCUUUCUUUCUUUCUUUCUCUCUUUCUCUCUUUCUCUCUUUCUCUCCCGAUCAAAGUGUCGAUCCGCCAAAGGAAGAGCUGGUUUAAUCGGAGGCUAUAGAAUCUGUGGAGUUUUGGGUCGGAGGCGUGUUGAAUCGGCGGAGAUGUUAUCGGAGGCGACGGUAGCGGUGGCGAUUUGAAUCGUCGUGGAGAUUGUAGCGGUGGCGAAUUGACGGAGUAUGCGAUGCAAUCGGAACACCAACAAUCAAUUCGAUUGAGAGGGUCAAAUGGGCAAAACUGAUCUUGAUGGCUUGAUGCUAGUUAAAGAGUGUGAGUCGGCCAUGGAGAAAGUGACAAGAUGACAGCAUGAACCGGAAUCAAGUGAUGAAGUCCCGUGACACCAAAAGAACAACAAGCUGUAAGCAAAAAGCAAAUGUGACACCAAAAGAAGGAAUCAAGUGAUGAAGUCGGUCAAGAUUAUGUACUUUCACCACAUGUUUUCAUCCCCGUGACACCAUGUGAAAAGCAAUAGGAUUCACUUUUGUAUAAUUAUGUACUUUCACCACAUGUUUUUACAAGGGCUUUUGUAUUUUUGUACAUCUACCACAUGUUAUCUUUUCAUUUAAGACCACAAAUUGUAUUCAAACUUUUCUAUCCACAUAUUUAUAGUUUUGUAGUCACCAAAAUUUCCUAUA
This is a non-coding RNA of Camelina sativa (false flax), 706 nucleotides long. Lineage: Eukaryota; Viridiplantae; Streptophyta; Magnoliopsida; Brassicales; Brassicaceae. The record is from RefSeq and is a predicted model, not a curated record.